Molecule: ribosomal RNA, 544 nt
Filed under: uncultured bacterium
Lineage: Bacteria
Description: partial 16S ribosomal RNA
Rfam family: Bacterial small subunit ribosomal RNA
Source: RNAcentral
UGGGAAUUUUGGACAAUGGGCGCAAGCCUGAUCCAGCCAUGCCGCGUGCGGGAAGAAGGCCUUCGGGUUGUAAACCGCUUUUGUCAGGGAAGAAAUCUUCUGAGUUAAUACCUCGGGAGGAUGACGGUACCUGAAGAAUAAGCACCGGCUAACUACGUGCCAGCAGCCGCGGUAAUACGUAGGGUGCAAGCGUUAAUCGGAAUUACUGGGCGUAAAGCGUGCGCAGGCGGUUUUGUAAGACAGAGGUGAAAUCCCCGGGCUCAACCUGGGAACUGCCUUUGUGACUGCAAGGCUUGAGUGCGGCAGAGGGGGGAUGGAAUUCCGCGUGUAGCAGUGAAAUGCGUAGAUAUGCGGAGGAACGCCGAUGGCGAAGGCAAUCCCCUGGGCCUGCACUGACGCUCAUGCACGAAAGCGUGGGGAGCAAAACAGGAUUAGAUAGCCCUGGUAGUCCACGCCCUAAAACGAUGUCAACUGGUUGUUGGGAAGGUUCCUUCUCAGUAACGUAGCUAACGCGUGAAGUUGACCGCCUGGGGAGUACGGCCGC